This 468-nucleotide ribosomal RNA is filed under the name uncultured bacterium. Its description in RNAcentral is "partial 16S ribosomal RNA". It matches the Rfam family "Bacterial small subunit ribosomal RNA", at positions 28 to 507 of the family's 1533-position model. The record is from RNAcentral.
GACGAACGCUGGCGGCGUGCUUAACACAUGCAAGUCGAACGGAAAGGCCCUGCUUUUGUGGGUUGCUCGAGUGGCGAACGGGUGAGUAACACGUGAGUAACCUGCCCUUGACUUUGGGGUAACUUCAGGAAACUGGGGCUCAUACCGGAUAGGAUCUCCUGCUGCGUGGUGGGGGUUGGAAAGUUUCGGCGGUUGGGGAUGGACUCGCGGCUUAUCCGCUUGUUGGUGGGGUAGUGGCUUACCAAGGCUUUGACGGGUAGCCGGCCUGAGAGGGUGACCGGCCACAUUGGGACUGAGAGACGGCCCAGACGCCUACGGGAGGCAGCAGUGGGGAAUAUUGCACAAUGGGCGGAAGCCUGAUGCAGCAACGCCGCGUGCGGGAUGACGGCCUUCGGGUUGUAAACCGCUUUCGCCUGUGACGAAGCGUGAGUGACGGUAAUGGGUAAAGAAGCACCGGCUAACUACGUG